Molecule: long non-coding RNA, 1271 nt
Filed under: Struthio camelus australis
Lineage: Eukaryota; Metazoa; Chordata; Aves; Struthioniformes; Struthionidae
Description: lncRNA (ENSSCUG00000003904.1)
Source: RNAcentral
AUGGUCAGCUACUCCAGUGCUAUUUCAGACAUCAGGGCGAUCUUUUUACUGUUUCUGUUUUUCUCUUUUAAUCUCCUCAAGCUGUUUUUCUCAGAAAUAAGGAAGCCAGAAUCAUAUGACCAAACAGCUCCUUCUCAGGUCAUGACCUACCUGGCGAUUUCUGGGCUGUGUCUGAUCCUGGUUACCCUCACCACACCUGCUCCUGACCUGUGGACUGACCUCCCUGGCUUGACCUUGGACCUACCUCGUCACCAUGGACUUGCCUGACGAUCUGGANNNNNNNNNNNNNNNNNNNNNNNNNNNNNNNNCCCUCGUUCAGUUACUGGGGGACCAGGUCCUGGCUGGUGAGGUCUCUGCCCUGCUGGCUGUGGUAUGGCUCUUGGCUCCCUGUCCCUUAAGGAGCAGCUGGCCUUCACUGCUCCUUUGCAUUUGGAGCACAAACCCAGCACACAGGAGUUGCUUAUAGAAGCAUCAGACCUGAUAGCAUAAAGCAAGCAUGUGAGCAGUUGAAUCUGUAAAGGAAGAGCAUGUGAAAUCAAGAAGCAGAAAUCAAGAAUUAUAUGCUUUUGGAAAACAAGGAGAAACUGAUGAGUAAAGGUGGGUGGGAAAUGACAGAUGUUAGGACAUGAUACCUUCUGAGAAGGGAAAGGACAUAGAAUGAAAGAAAGAAUAAUGAGCAAAUGAAGAGGGAGUAAAGGUGAAUUUAAUGCAACAAAAGCUAGUAAAAAUUAUAGAAGAGAACAAAUAUUAGAAAGUGACCCUGUUCAACAGUACAAAUCUUAGCUCAGAAUCCUGUGGGACUUUACUGUAAAAAACCUUUUAUUCCCUACUGUAUUUUUAAUGAGGAUUUCCCAUAAUCUUCUGUGACAACCAGAUCUCUUUAAGAAACUUUGAAGGGAAAUGGGCAAAGGCUUUCUAGAAAUUCAGGUCUACUCUCUAGACGAGUCUCAAGUCUGGACUGCAGUAUGAGGGGAAAUAUCCAUGUAAACACUGUCUGCUUCAUCCAGCAAGGUUUUAAUCUGUGUGAAUCAAAGUAAAAUCAAUAAGAAAAUUAAAGCAUGUACCUUAACAAAUAGAAUAACCAAAAAAGAAGAGUAUAUGAUGUCCGUAAUAGCUGUUAUUCAAGCUGCUUAGUCAGUCCUUAGGAUAUGUCACUAAUGUGUUAAUGCAGUCCUGGAUAUUCCACUAAUAACAGGUAAUAUAAGAAUCUUCAUAAAACAUAACAGAAUCAGCUAACAAAAAAUAAAAGAUGCUGUUGGAGAAAAGAAGCA